CACACAUAUUUUUAUUCUCCAAUUCAGAGACGCAGAUCCUCAUCUCAGAAAGAAAGAAUGCAAUUGAUAGACACUGCAACGAACUACUCUUUGUGUAAACAGUGAACGACAGACAAUUGCGCAUAUCGCAUAAACAGCUGCGUUCCACUGAGAGUCGUUCACAUGCCGAUUGUGGCAAGAACUUGACUUUUUUUCAAAGGUAGAAAUGUCAAUAUUGUUUGGUUCCUAUUAUCAGUAGAAAGAGAACUAUGUGAGUGAGGAAGAGAUGUGCUAAGUGACACCAGUUCAGGUGCUGCUGUUCUGCAUUCAGCUUCGCAGAGCACAAACCGCUUUAAAGGUGUACAGACUACCCAGCAUUUGGUAGAGGUAGGGGUUGAGGGGGGCUUCAGACAGGAAUCGGCCUCAAGCAUCCAGAUCACUGUCUUUUGCUGACCACAGAGAGUCAGGACACCUGUUAAACGUCCCAUCCAAAAUACAGCACUGAACACUUCUAUUCACUGACCUGUGGAAUUGGGAUUUGAACUUCACAUCAAAGAGAAGAGUGCUUCUAUUGGUCUUCCAACACCAGUUUCAGCAAAAUGUGGUGUCCCAUCCAGGGACCGACCAGGACAGACCCUACCUUCAGAGGCAAGUCAGCAGUGGGAUGCAUCAGGCUGGUAUUCUGUUAGAACAUGAUCGUGUCCACAUUCUGUUUGCGUCUACAUUUUGUGACGUGUGUCGACGAUCAAAAGAUGCAUUGUGAUCUGAUUGUAAUCAGAUCUUAUACGUGCAAACCGGGUUAAUCUGGUCAAGAUUCGAAAAAUAUGUAGGCAAAGCACGCAUGUCAUCUUUAGGUUUAAGUAGUGCUAGAAAGAUGGUGAUGGAAUAAAUGGCUUUAUUAACGCUGACUGCCAAUUUCAAACAUUUUCCAGUAGGCUAUGAAUAUAUUUUUAUUACACACUUCAUUAGUUUUCAUAUCAGAUCUUUCUGAGUAAUCAUCUGAUUCGUGAAAAUAACAAUAUUUAAAAAAGUAUAUUAUAGUUAGCUUGUCUGUUACAACUAAGCCUUAAGUCAGCUGAGAUCGUUGUUUGAUUACGUGUGAUGCCAUGGACUUAAUCAGAUGGUACGACCUCCACUAUUUCUAGCCACAUCCAUAAGCCAGCUGCGUGCAUGGUGUUUAAAGCAAAAGGAAUAAGAACACGACCAUUCGGCCCCAUAGCUACAGGUAGGCAAAAUUGAAGAAACCGCAAUUUGGACUUCUAUAGCAUCCCAAAUGACAGCUCCAUAGCUAUUCAUUGAUGAGGUGUUGAAGUGUAUGCCAAACUGACUAAGCGCACAACAGCUUUCUUCGUAAUGGAGGGUAACAAAAAGCGUGUCUUUGCUAAAGAGUGGCGCAGCUGUAGGCCGCGGGCUUGGUUGUGAGCAUGCUUAUUGCAAAAGAGCAGGACAAGGGUAUUGGCCAAUACAUCCGUAUCAACAACAACUUUUAAUUUAUCAUUUAUAGAUUGUCAAUGAGAAACCCUAAAUAUUUGGCUGAUAUAUUUCAAUGGAAUUAUCCCAGAAGUUAUUUCCAUAGAACAUUCAUCCAUAAGAGACAAGAGUAUUUUUUAGGAAAAAGAUUUCCAUAGAACAUUUCCAUAGGGCAUUAAACGAACAAAGGUGUUCGUUUAAUGUCCCCCUAACUACUGCAUAUAAGAUAAGCAUUUCUGUCAACCGUUAGAAAAACCCAAACGAUAUCAUGCCAAAGUUAACAAUGUAUGGUCUCACAACCGGAAUUCUGGGAACCUCAUAAUAUUUGAGGAAUUCGUUUGGUUUUGGCAUGUGACUUCUGCAGAACAAUACCUUCCCACUAUACCAGACAGACAUCAUUCAAAGCGUAUUUAGGCGCUUGUUAUCAGGAAAAUGGACGAGAAAUUUUUCAUACACCAGACACCAACCCACCCCGUUAAUCCAUUUUUGAGCUAGUCAAAGCUGUAAACAUCGUCGUAUAAUGCAUUUUAAAGGUGUUCUAAUGUAUUGUUCAGUUACACAGCAGGUUUAAUUACAGGCCUACAAUCUCUCUAUCUCUACACUUUAAUGACACACAGUUGUGUAUUCUAUGAUUAUAGUUCUCCCAAUCCAAAUAUUUUA
This is a long non-coding RNA of Esox lucius (northern pike), 2109 nucleotides long. Lineage: Eukaryota; Metazoa; Chordata; Actinopteri; Esociformes; Esocidae. The record is from Ensembl.